GGUCAAUGUGGUGUAGUGGUGUGGGUGUUGGACUAUGACUCUGGAGACCAGGGUUCAAAUCUCUGCUUGAGCA
This is a non-coding RNA of Phrynosoma platyrhinos (Desert horned lizard), 73 nucleotides long. Lineage: Eukaryota; Metazoa; Chordata; Lepidosauria; Squamata; Phrynosomatidae. The record is from the annotation of a GenBank genome assembly.